CUGCGCCUGACCUUUUUUUUUUUAAAUCUUUUGAGAGAGACGUAGUCUUGCUCUGUCUCCCAGGUUGGAGUGCAGUGGCCCAAGACUGUGCCAUUGCACUCCAACCUGGGCAACAAGAGCAAAACUCCGUCUCAAAAACAAACAAACAAACAAAACAUAAUAUGAGACUGGACACAGUGGCUCAUGCCUGUAAUCUUAACAGUUUGGUAGGCUGAGGUGGGCAGAUCACUUGAGCCCAGAAGUUCGAAACAAGCCAUGUCACCCAUGACAUGGCAAAACUCUGUCUCUACAGAAGAUAGAAAAAUUAGCCGGGUGUGGUGGUGCAUGCCUGUAGUCCCAGCUACUCAGGAGGCUGAGGUGAUCCUCCCACCUCAGCCCAGGAGGUUAAGGCUGCAGUGAGCUGUGAUCAUGCCACUGCACUCUAGCA
RNAcentral lists this long non-coding RNA (427 nucleotides) under Homo sapiens (human). RNAcentral describes it as "HSALNT0105165". Lineage: Eukaryota; Metazoa; Chordata; Mammalia; Primates; Hominidae. The record is from RNAcentral.